CCGAGUUUACAACUCCCAAACCCAAUGUGAACGUUACCAAACUGUUGCCUCGGCGGGAUCUCUGCCCCGGGUGCGUCGCAGCCCCGGACCAAGGCGCCCGCCGGAGGACCAACCAAAACUCUUAUUGUAUACCCCCUCGCGGGUUUUUUACUAUCUGAGCCAUCUCGGCGCCCCUCGUGGGCGUUUCGAAAAUGAAUCAAAACUUUCAACAACGGAUCUCUUGGUUCUGGCAUCGAUGAAGAACGCAGCGAAAUGCGAUAAGUAAUGUGAAUUGCAGAAUUCAGUGAAUCAUCGAAUCUUUGAACGCACAUUGCGCCCGCCAGUAUUCUGGCGGGCAUGCCUGUCCGAGCGUCAUUUCAACCCUCGAACCCCUCCGGGGGGUCGGCGUUGGGGAUCGGCCCUUUACGGGGCCGGCCCCGAAAUACAGUGGCGGUCUCGCCGCAGCCUCUCCUGCGCAGUAGUUUGCACACUCGCAUCGGGAGCGCGGCGCGUCCACAGCCGUUAAACACCCCAAACUUCUGAAAUGUUGACCUCGGAUCAGGUAGGAAUACCCGCUGAACUUAAGCAUAUCAAAAACGGGAGGAAA
This 586-nucleotide ribosomal RNA is filed under the name Trichoderma virens. Its description in RNAcentral is "eukaryotic LSU rRNA". The stretch from base 201 to 354 matches the Rfam family "5.8S ribosomal RNA". Lineage: Eukaryota; Fungi; Ascomycota; Sordariomycetes; Hypocreales; Hypocreaceae. The record is from RNAcentral.